UCGAUGGGAAACAGGUUAAUAUUCCUGUACUUGGUGUUACUGCGAAGGGGGGACGGAGAAGGCUAUGUUGGCCGGGCGACGGUUGUCCCGGUUUAAGCGUGUAGGCUGGUUUUCCAGGCAAAUCCGGAAAAUCAAGGCUGAGGCGUGAUGACGAGGCACUACGGUGCUGAAGCAACAAAUGCCCUGCUUCCAGGAAAAGCCUCUAAGCAUCAGGUAACAUCAAAUCGUACCCCAAACCGACACAGGUGGUCAGGUAGAGAAUACCAAGGCGCUUGAGAGAACUCGGGUGAAGGAACUAGGCAAAAUGGUGCCGUAACUUCGGGAGAAGGCACGCUGAUAUGUAGGUGAAGUCCCUUGCGGAUGGAGCUGAAAUCAGUCGAAGAUACCAGCUGGCUGCAACUGUUUAUUAAAAACACAGCACUGUGCAAACACGAAAGUGGACGUAUACGGUGUGACGCCUGCCCGGUGCCGGAAGGUUAAUUGAUGGGGUCAGCGCAAGCGAAGCUCUUGAUCGAAGCCCCGGUAAACGGCGGCCGUAACUAUAACGGUCCUAAGGUAGCGAAAUUCCUUGUCGGGUAAGUUCCGACCUGCACGAAUGGCGUAAUGAUGGCCAGGCUGUCUCCACCCGAGACUCAGUGAAAUUGAACUCGCUGUGAAGAUGCAGUGUACCCGCGGCAAGACGGAAAGACCCCGUGAACCUUUACUAUAGCUUGACACUGAACAUUGAGCCUUGAUGUGUAGGAUAGGUGGGAGGCUUUGAAGUGUGGACGCCAGUCUGCAUGGAGCCGGCCUUGAAAUACCACCCUUUAAUGUUUGAUGUUCUAACGUGGACCCGUGAUCCGGGUUGCGGACAGUGUCUGGUGGGUAGUUUGACUGGGGCGGUCUCCUCCUAAAGAGUAACGGAGGAGCACGAAGGUUGGCUAAUCCUGGUCGGACAUCAGGAGGUUAGUGCAAUGGCAUAAGCCAGCUUGACUGCGAGCGUGACGGCGCGAGCAGGUGCGAAAGCAGGUCAUAGUGAUCCGGUGGUUCUGAAUGGAAGGGCCAUCGCUCAACGGAUAAAAGGUACUCCGGGGAUAACAGGCUGAUACCGCCCAAGAGUUCAUAUCGACGGCGGUGUUUGGCACCUCGAUGUCGGCUCAUCACAUCCUGGGGCUGAAGUAGGUCCCAAGGGUAUGGCUGUUCGCCAUUUAAAGUGGUACGCGAGCUGGGUUUAGAACGUCGUGAGACAGUUCGGUCCCUAUCUGCCGUGGGCGCUGGAGAACUGAGGGGGGCUGCUCCUAGUACGAGAGGACCGGAGUGGACGCAUCACUGGUGUUCGGGUUGUCAUGCCAAUGGCACUGCCCGGUAGCUAAAUGCGGAAGAGAUAAGUGCUGAAAGCAUCUAAGCACGAAACUUGCCCCGAGAUGAGUUCUCCCUGACCCUUUAAGGGUCCUGAAGGAACGUUGAAGACGACGACGUUGAUAGGCCGGGUGUGUAAGCGCAGCGAUGCGUUGAGCUAACCGGUACUAAUGAACCGUGAG
This 1520-nucleotide ribosomal RNA is filed under the name Shigella sonnei. RNAcentral describes it as "partial 23S ribosomal RNA". It matches the Rfam family "Bacterial large subunit ribosomal RNA", at positions 1415 to 2915 of the family's 2925-position model. Lineage: Bacteria; Pseudomonadati; Pseudomonadota; Gammaproteobacteria; Enterobacterales; Enterobacteriaceae. The record is from RNAcentral.